Long non-coding RNA from Anopheles funestus (African malaria mosquito), 2207 nucleotides. RefSeq lists it as uncharacterized. The transcript has 3 exons. Lineage: Eukaryota; Metazoa; Arthropoda; Insecta; Diptera; Culicidae. The record is from RefSeq and is a predicted model, not a curated record.
CCCUAUCGACAAAGUGUUCAUCGAUGGAUGAAUUUUUAGAAAAGGGGGUGAAAAUUUUGCUCGAAUCACCCCAAAAUGAGAGUGUGUGCGUGGCUCGCUGUAUCGCGAUAGAGUUCGGCGUGUGUCGAAUGAAUGUUCAAAAUGGUCGUAGUAGGCUAAAAAUCUGUCUUUCUGUUUUCGCUCGGUCGCUGUACAUUUUCAUACGGGAAUAGUUAGUGAAUUGUGGAUUGCGUCAGUUCGUGGACUGUGUAUUCGAUUGUGGAAUAGUGUUUGCCAAGUUGUUCCAGUUCUAGUUCUAAAAGGAUGUUCCUGUGCCGGCACUGGUAAGUUGUACCGCCAGCGUGAUGACCUGCUGGCGCUGCUUUCGGCUGAAUACGACGAUGCAGAAGCAGGACAAGUUGUUUGGUGUUUUUUUGAAAGCAACGCGGACAUAGGACCACAGUUGCCGGUCCUCAUAUCUAGUAGAGGCUUUUGUGUACAAAAAUCAGGAAGCAGGAAGGAUCAAGAAGCUGGAUUCAAGUGCCGUAGUGUGAAAUACUUCGUCAAAGGAGAAAAGCGCGUGUUUUCUUACAACUGUGCCCACACGUCCCUUUGGCCUACUGCUUCAAAGGUAGGCUACCCUCUACAAUCAAUGCCAUGGCGUCUAACGCGGUCGUUUGAACAUUCUGCAUCCUCUUCCUCUUGCAACUGACUCAUACUUCUUGUUGGUCGCCCUCGAAUACGGCGUAUGAAUUGACGGCCACAUCUUUUUCGCAUCAUUUGAAAGGAACAAAUUAUUGGACAUGCUCGUGAUUAUUCAGUUCUAUGAUGCACCUGCCAAUGGAAGUGAAAGACAAGCCAACCUUAGUAUUGGUUGUUUUUGCUGCUGAUCGGUUCUAAAUCGGUUUGUAUCGCAGCUAACGAUUCUCGAAGAAGUGUCAGUGUCCUAAUCUUCCUUAUUUUCAUUGCUCAACAAACAGGAUAGUGGAAACCGCUCUUGUUGACACUCUACAUAGGCGCUGGAUUGGAUUUUUCUUCGCUCUGCUCACAGUGCGUGACCUUGGUUUAUUGUGGCAUUCUAUCAGUCAACUAACAUUCCCUUCAGGAAAGUAUUGUCCAUUCUUAUGGACGAUUGUUGUAUUGUUUUUCGUAUGUAUAUCUAAUGAAGCAUACUUUUUCAGGCAAAACACCUUCAGUCCUCCGUACACAUCUGAUUUCCGUAAGAAUUACGCCUCAAAUUCGAAGGAGACAAUGUUCUAUCGCCACCUAGCACCUCUACAAACCGUGACCGAUAAAGCUAGCCUUUGAACCUUCGUCUAGGUUACUAUACUGCGCCAAAGUUGAAGGUCGGUCGAAUCAUAAACUAACUCGAGAAUCGCCACUCGAUACGAGAAUAUUAUUGGUUCCAAUAAUACAAGGUUCCAACCUUGUUUUUCGUCGUUUGUUAUACAUUCCAUUUGUAGAUACAAAAUGGAGUGAAAGAUGCAAAAAAACGCGUGUUAAUGCGGUCAAAAUGAAAUCGAGAUCGCACACGAUACUAAACUCAAACACACGAUGUUAAUUUGUUUCGAAACACGCUGGCAAUUCCAUUGAAAGUUUUCGCGUGGACCUUUGAUUGAUACAGGAUAUGAAUCUCUUCGAAACUUGAUCUUGGAAGGGAGCAAAUGUCCUUGUUUAUUUUAUGUUUACGUUGCACCGAUCGAAACUGGCCGCGUGAUAAUGAAAAACGAUAACAAAUCGUGGGCGGUAUCAUGUGGAACAGGAUUAGAAAUCCCUGGCUAAGCUGGCGCAGAGUACGAGCGUUGAAAAUUGUACGCUGCCUGGAUGGAAUGGUAUAGUAUAAACUAUGUAGAUAAUAAGAAUGAAAAAAAAGUAUGAAGCGUAAGAUGAAAAAUAUUGUUACGGGUCUAAAUCAGUACAUGUUAAUUGUUGUCUUUUUACGCUUGCCAUAAAAUCAGGAAAAAUAAAAAAAAUAAUAUUUUAUUUGCUAAAAACAAAAAAUGUUUUCAUUGCACCGUUGGAAAUCAACGGUGCGGAAAGAACGAUUGAAAAUGAACAUUACAGCGUUAAAAUGAACCUUACGAAAACGCGCUCAUGAAAUAAUGAAUCUCACGCACACACUCUCAAAAAACGGCUUCACAAGAUCUGCUGUGAAGCUUUUGUGAAGCCGCUUGUGAAGCCGUGAAUUUUACUCGAAAUUCACUCUCAGGCGAGCAGUUUGUCGAUAG